GUGGGGCAGGUGAUUUCCAGAAACAUCCUUUCUUCUUUGGCCUUGAUUGGGAGGGUCUCCGAGACAGUGUACCCCCCUUUACACCAG
This 87-nucleotide unclassified non-coding RNA is filed under the name Mus musculus (house mouse). Lineage: Eukaryota; Metazoa; Chordata; Mammalia; Rodentia; Muridae. The record is from RNAcentral.